GACGAACGCUGGCGGCGUGCUUAACACAUGCAAGUCGAACGAUGAAGCCUAGCUUGCUAGGUGGAUUAGUGGCGAACGGGUGAGUAAUACGUGAGUGACCUACCUUUGACUCUGGGAUAAGCCUGGGAAACUGGGUCUAAUACCGGAUACGACCAAUCUCCGCAUGGGGUGUUGGUGGAAAGCGUUAUGGAGUGGUUUUAGAUGGGCUCACGGCCUAUCAGCUUGUUGGUGAGGUAAUGGCUUACCAAGGCGACGACGGGUAGCCGGCCUGAGAGGGUGACCGGCCACACUGGGACUGAGACACGGCCCAGACUCCUACGGGAGGCAGCAGUGGGGAAUAUUGCACAAUGGGCGCAAGCCUGAUGCAGCGACGCCGCGUGAGGGAUGACGGCCUUCGGGUUGUAAACCUCUGUUAGCAUCGAAGAAGCGAAAGUGACGGUAGUGCAG
Molecule: ribosomal RNA, 447 nt
Filed under: Rothia dentocariosa
Lineage: Bacteria; Bacillati; Actinomycetota; Actinomycetes; Micrococcales; Micrococcaceae
Description: bacterial SSU rRNA
Rfam family: Bacterial small subunit ribosomal RNA
Source: RNAcentral